UCUCGAUUGGUCUAGUGGUCAGGAUACCUGCUUGUCAUGAACAAGUUCGCAGGUGGCCGGGGUUCGAUUCCCCGAUCGAGAG
This 82-nucleotide transfer RNA is filed under the name Daldinia bambusicola. RNAcentral's name for it is "tRNA-Asp". It matches the Rfam family "tRNA". Rfam says of the family: Transfer RNA (tRNA) molecules are approximately 80 nucleotides in length. Their secondary structure includes four short double-helical elements and three loops (D, anti-codon, and T loops). Lineage: Eukaryota; Fungi; Ascomycota; Sordariomycetes; Xylariales; Hypoxylaceae. The record is from RNAcentral.